Molecule: ribosomal RNA, 877 nt
Filed under: uncultured bacterium
Lineage: Bacteria
Description: bacterial SSU rRNA
Rfam family: Bacterial small subunit ribosomal RNA
Source: RNAcentral
ACGCUAGCUACAGGCUUAACACAUGCAAGUCGAGGGGCAGCGAUGAAGAAAGCUUGCUUUCUUCAGGCGGCGACCGGCGCACGGGUGAGUAACGCGUAUCGAACCUGCCUCAUACUCAGGAAUAGCCUUGCGAAAGUAAGAUUAAUGCCCGAUGUUAUUAGGAUAUCACAUGAUGUUUUAAUUAAAGAUUUAUCGGUAUGAGAUGGCGAUGCGUCCCAUUAGCUUGUUGGCGGGGUAACGGCCCACCAAGGCAUCGAUGGGUAGGGGUUCUGAGAGGAAGGUCCCCCACAUUGGAACUGAGACACGGUCCAAACUCCUACGGGAGGCAGCAGUGAGGAAUAUUGGUCAAUGGACGCAAGUCUGAACCAGCCAAGUAGCGUGCGGGAAGACGGCCCUCUGGGUUGUAAACUGCUUUUAGUUGGGAAUAAAGUGCACCACGUGUGGUGUUUUGUAUGUACCAUCAGAAAAAGGACCGGCUAAUUCCGUGCCAGCAGCCGCGGUAAUACGGAAGGUUCAGGCGUUAUCCGGAUUUAUUGGGUUUAAAGGGAGCGCAGGCGGACCUUUAAGUCAGCUGUGAAAUACGGCGGCUCAACCGUCGAACUGCAGUUGAUACUGGAGGUCUUGAGUGCACACAGGGAUACUGGAAUUCAUGGUGUAGCGGUGAAAUGCUCAGAUAUCAUGAAGAACUCCAAUCGCGAAGGCAGGUAUCCGGGGUGCAACUGACGCUGAGGCUCGAAAGUGCGGGUAUCAAACAGGAUUAGAUACCCUGGUAGUCCGCACAGUAAACGAUGAAUACUCGCGAUUUGCGAUACACAGUAAGUCGCCAAGCGAAAGCGUUAAGUAUUCCACCUGGGGAGUACGCCGGCAACGGUGAAAC